This 74-nucleotide transfer RNA is filed under the name Hordeum vulgare. RNAcentral describes it as "tRNA-Thr". It matches the Rfam family "tRNA". Rfam says of the family: Transfer RNA (tRNA) molecules are approximately 80 nucleotides in length. Their secondary structure includes four short double-helical elements and three loops (D, anti-codon, and T loops). The record is from RNAcentral. Lineage: Eukaryota; Viridiplantae; Streptophyta; Magnoliopsida; Poales; Poaceae.
GCCCACUUAGCUCAGAGGUUUAGAGCAUCGCAUUUGUAAUGCGAGGGUCAUCGGUUCAAAUCCGAUAGUCGGCU